UAUAUACCCCCUCCGUCCGAAAAUACUUGUCAUCAAAAUGGACAAAAAUGGAUGUAUCUAGAACUAAAGUACAUCUAGAUACAUCUCCUUUUAUUCAUUUUGAUGACAAGUAUUUUUGGAUAGAGAGAGUAUAAU
Molecule: non-coding RNA, 135 nt
Organism: Triticum aestivum (bread wheat)
Lineage: Eukaryota; Viridiplantae; Streptophyta; Magnoliopsida; Poales; Poaceae
Source: Rfam